CCGUUGCCGGCGACCGGCGCGCGGGUGAGUAACACGUAUGCAACCUGCCCGUGGCAGGGGGAUAAGCGGGGGAAACCCCGUCUAAUACCGCGUAACGCGGCCUUGGGGCAUCCCAAGGCCGCCAAAGGGAGCAAUCCCGGCCACGGAUGGGCAUGCGGCGCAUUAGCUAGUCGGCGGGGUAACGGCCCACCGAGGCGACGAUGCGUAGGGGUUCUGAGAGGAAGGCCCCCCACACUGGUACUGAGACACGGACCAGACUCCUACGGAAGGCAGCAG
Molecule: ribosomal RNA, 276 nt
Filed under: uncultured bacterium
Lineage: Bacteria
Description: partial 16S ribosomal RNA
Rfam family: Bacterial small subunit ribosomal RNA
Source: RNAcentral